Molecule: ribosomal RNA, 489 nt
Filed under: Holothuria scabra
Lineage: Eukaryota; Metazoa; Echinodermata; Holothuroidea; Aspidochirotida; Holothuriidae
Description: partial 16S ribosomal RNA
Rfam family: Bacterial large subunit ribosomal RNA
Source: RNAcentral
GUAGACAUAAAGGUCUUGCCUGCCCAGUGGCUAAAGCUAAACGGCCGCGGUAUCUUGACCGUGCAAAGGUAGCAUAAUCAUUUGUCUUUUAAAUGGAGACUUGUAUGAAUGGCGGAACCUUCUUCAACUGUCUCCCUUUCCACUCCCCCAAAUUUCUAUUUCCGUGAAGAAGCAGAAAUAAAAGAGAAAGACGAGAAGACCCUGUCGAGCUUCAGCUUAAAGGUGAAAAACUAAACAUCAUCCAAAAGCUUUGGUUGGGGCAACCAUGGAGAAAAUACAUCCUCCAGAAAAAAUAGAAGAAAACCCUUCACUAUUUUCAACCUCAAAGAACCAGAAACUGGUAAUCGGAAAAAGUUACCGCAGGGAUAACAGCGUAAUCUUCUCUAAGAGUCCUUAUUGACGAGAAGGUUUGCGACCUCGAUGUUGGAUUGGGGCCUCCUUUGGGUGCAGAAGCUCUAAAAGGUUAGACUGUUCGUCUAUUAAAGCCCU